RNAcentral lists this long non-coding RNA (202 nucleotides) under Chrysemys picta bellii (western painted turtle). Its description in RNAcentral is "lncRNA (ENSCPBG00000027520.1)". The record is from RNAcentral. Lineage: Eukaryota; Metazoa; Chordata; Testudines; Emydidae.
AAAUGACUUGAAUGAGGGAAAAAUAAACUUGGCUGAUGAAGAUUCUGAGAAACAUAAUCAAGAACUGAUCUUAAUCACAAGAUGGCCUCUAUAACACAAUUACAGUCUCUCUCCUACUGGGUGUCUGGCUUUACAUAAAGUGACAUAGAAGAAUCAUUGGUCAAGGCAAUGGCUUUCAGUGUUUCUGCUUUGAAAGAAAAUG